AAUCCAUCCACAUCCACUCGCGAAUUACACCGUACCCCCCAAGUGGACCUCGGGAAAGCUUGGGCGGCUGUCUUUCGGGUCAGCCGGGCUCCCCUCACGGGUGAGUCGGCAACCAUUUUACACACCCAACUAAUAUGUCUGUCUGAAGAUGAUUCGGCUCAGCACUGCUGGUCGAUUAACUAAGAC
Molecule: ribosomal RNA, 186 nt
Filed under: Hazenia basiliensis
Lineage: Eukaryota; Viridiplantae; Chlorophyta; Ulvophyceae; Ulotrichales; Hazeniaceae
Source: RNAcentral